ACCACAAAAUCUCCCUCUCUGCCCUGCCACAGUUGGUCCUGAUUUGACUGUCUCUGUGGAGAAGCCAAGGAUCAAAUGCUCCAUGGCGCCAGACUGUUUUCUUUUGCAGCCUGCAGGUCACCAGGAUACUUAAGAAGUUUGCGUUAAUUAUACCAUGUUUGCCAUCAAAGAGGGGAUAUUAACCCUUUCGAGCUGUUGCAGGAAAGCAGUGGAGCCAUUUGAAAGAACUGCUGAAUCCCCCACUCGGAGAAGCAUGCUCCUCCGGGCGCUGGGGGAUGCACCACCCCUCCUGACAGCCUGAUGGAUUAUGGCCCCAGUUCUGUCAGUGGAUCCAACCAAACCAGCAAAGAGGCAGAGAGGCA
Long non-coding RNA from Vidua chalybeata, 362 nucleotides. RefSeq lists it as uncharacterized. The transcript is spliced from 3 exons. The record is from RefSeq and is a predicted model, not a curated record. NCBI's taxonomy places the organism in Eukaryota, Metazoa, Chordata, Aves, Passeriformes, Viduidae.